This 802-nucleotide ribosomal RNA is filed under the name uncultured bacterium. RNAcentral's name for it is "bacterial SSU rRNA". It matches the Rfam family "Bacterial small subunit ribosomal RNA", at positions 1 to 804 of the family's 1533-position model. The record is from RNAcentral.
UAGAGUUUGAUCCUGGCUCAAGAUGAACUCUAGCGGCAGGCUUAACACAUGCAAGUCGAGGGGCAGCAUGUCCAGCAAUGGAUGAUGGCGACCGGCGGAAGGGUGCGUAACGCGUGAGCAACAUGCCCUAUACAGGGAGAUACACCAGGGAAACUUGGUCUAAUAUCCCAUAGCAUUCAUUGAAGGCAUCUUUAAUGAAUUAAAGCUUCGGUGGUAUAAGAUUGGCUCGCGUGACAUUAGCCAGAUGGUGAGGUAACGGCUCACCAUAGCAAUGAUGUCUAGGGGUUUUGAGAGGAACGCCCCCCACACUGGGACUGAGACACCGCCCACACUCCUACGGGAGGCAGCAGUGAGGAAUAUUGGACAAUGGAUGGAAAUCUGAUCCAGCCAUGCCGCGUGCAGGAAGACGGCCUUAUGGGUUGUAAACUGCUUUUAUACGGGAGCAAUAAGGGUUACGAGUGAUCCGAUGAGAGUACUGUAUGAAUAAGGAUCGGCUAACUCCGUGCCAGCAGCCGCGGUAAUACGGAGGAUCCGAGCGUUAUCCGGAAUUAUUGGGUUUAAAGGGUGCGUAGGCGGCCAUUUAAGUCAGCGGUGAAAUUUUGCAGCUUAACUGUAACAGUGCCGUUGAUACUGUUUGGCUAGGAUUUGGUUGUAGUGUGCGGAAUGUGUGGUGUAGCGGUGAAAUGCUUAGAUAUCACACAGAACACCGAUUGCGAAGGCAGCACACUAAGUCAUUAUUGACGCUGAGGCACGAAAGUGUGGGGAUCAAACAGGAUUAGAUACCCUGGUAGUCCACACUGUA